GCUUACGGCCAUACCAACCUGGCUAUGCCGAUCUCGUCUGAUCUCGGAAGCUAAGCAGGUUUGGGCCUGGUUAGUACUUGGAUGGGAGACCGCCUGGGAAUACCAGGUGCUGUAAGCU
Carassius auratus (goldfish) is the source of this 118-nucleotide ribosomal RNA. The record is from Ensembl. NCBI's taxonomy places the organism in Eukaryota, Metazoa, Chordata, Actinopteri, Cypriniformes, Cyprinidae.